This 601-nucleotide ribosomal RNA is filed under the name Lucholelmis sp. FC_D19. Its description in RNAcentral is "SSU rRNA". It matches the Rfam family "Eukaryotic small subunit ribosomal RNA", at positions 22 to 602 of the family's 1831-position model. The record is from RNAcentral. Lineage: Eukaryota; Metazoa; Arthropoda; Insecta; Coleoptera; Elmidae.
AGUCAUAUGCUUGUCUCAAAGAUUAAGCCAUGCAUGUCUCAGUACAAGCCGAAUUAAGGUGAAACCGCGAAAGGCUCAUUAAAUCAGUUAUGGUUCCUUAGAUCGUACACACAUUUACUUGGAUAACUGUGGUAAUUCUAGAGCUAAUACAUGCAAACAGAGCUCCGACCGGAGACGGAAGGAGCGCUUUUAUUAGAUCAAAACCAAUCGGCGGCGGGCUUGCUCGUCGUCGUACACCUUGGUGAAUCUGAAUAACUUUCUGCUGAUCGCAUGGUCUAGCACCGGCGACGCAUCUUUCAAAUGUCUGCCUUAUCAACUGUCGAUGGUAGGUUCUGCGCCUACCAUGGUUGUAACGGGUAACGGGGAAUCAGGGUUCGAUUCCGGAGAGGGAGCCUGAGAAACGGCUACCACAUCCAAGGAAGGCAGCAGGCGCGCAAAUUACCCACUCCCGGCACGGGGAGGUAGUGACGAAAAAUAACGAUACGGGACUCAUCCGAGGCCCCGUAAUCGGAAUGAGUACACUCUAAACCCUUUAACGAGGAUCAAUUGGAGGGCAAGUCUGGUGCCAGCAGCCGCGGUAAUUCCAGCUCCAAUAGCGUAU